Molecule: ribosomal RNA, 492 nt
Filed under: uncultured bacterium
Lineage: Bacteria
Description: partial 16S ribosomal RNA
Rfam family: Bacterial small subunit ribosomal RNA
Source: RNAcentral
AGUGAACGCUGGCGGUAGGCCUAACACAUGCAAGUCGAACGGCAGCACAGUAAGAUCUUGCUCUUACGGGUGGCGAGUGGCGGACGGGUGAGGAAUACAUCGGAAUCUACUUUUUCGGGGGGGAUAACGUAGGGAAACUUACGCUAAUACCGCAUACGACCUACGGGUGAAAGCAGGGGAUCUUCGGACCUUGCGCGAUUGAAUGAGCCGAUGUCGGAUUAGCUAGUUGGCGGGGUAAAGGCCCACCAAGGCGACGAUCCGUAGCUGGUCUGAGAGGAUGAUCAGCCACACUGGAACUGAGACACGGUCCAGACUCCUACGGGAGGCAGCAGUGGGGAAUAUUGGACAAUGGUCGCAAGCCUGAUCCAGCCAUACCGCGUGGGUGAAGAAGGCCUUCGGGUCGUAAAGCCCUUUUGUUGGGAAAGAAAAGCAGCAGGUUAAUACCCCGCUGUUCUGACGGUACCCAAAGAAUAAGCACCGGCUAACUUCGUG